CGGAGUGUGGCUCAGUUGGUAGAGCGCCGCGUUUGGGACGCGGAGACCGUGAGUUCGAGUCUCACCACUCCGA
Molecule: transfer RNA, 73 nt
Filed under: Candidatus Woesebacteria bacterium RIFOXYA1_FULL_43_9
Lineage: Bacteria; Candidatus Woeseibacteriota
Description: tRNA-Pro
Rfam family: tRNA
About the family: Transfer RNA (tRNA) molecules are approximately 80 nucleotides in length.
Source: RNAcentral